CCUACGGGAGGCAGCAGUGGGGAAUAUUGCACAAUGGGGGAAACCCUGAUGCAGCAACGCCGCGUGAAGGAAGACGGUUUUCGGAUUGUAAACCUCUGUUCUUAGUGAAGAAUAAUGACGGUAGCUAAGGAGCAAGCGACGGCCAACUACGUGCCAGCAGCCGCGGUAAUACGUAGGUGGCAAGCGUUGUCCGGUAUUACUGGGUGUAAAGGGAGCUCAGGCGGGAAGCCAAGUCAGCUGUGAAAACUACGGGCUUAAAUUGUAGACAGCUGUUGAAACUGGUUUUCUUGAGUGAAGUAGAGGUUGGCGGAAUGCGGGGUGUAGCGGUGAAAUGCGUAGAUAUUCGGAGGAACACCGAUGGCGAAGGCGGCCAACUGGGCUUUCACUGACGCUGAGGCUCGAAAGUGUGGGGAUCGAACAGGAUUAGAUACCCGGGUAGUC
Molecule: ribosomal RNA, 441 nt
Filed under: uncultured bacterium
Lineage: Bacteria
Description: partial 16S ribosomal RNA
Rfam family: Bacterial small subunit ribosomal RNA
Source: RNAcentral